UUUAGAGUUUUGGAUCUGGCUCAGAACGAACGCUGGCGGCAGGCUUAACACAUGCAAGUCGAACGCCCCGCAAGGGGAGUGGCAGACGGGUGAGUAACGCGUGGGAACAUACCCUUUCCUGCGGAAUAGCUCCGGGAAACUGGAAUUAAUACCGCAUACGCCCUACGGGGGAAAGAUUUAUCGGGGAAGGAUUGGCCCGCGUUGGAUUAGCUAGUUGGUGGGGUAAAGGCCUACCAAGGCGACGAUCCAUAGCUGGUCUGAGAGGAUGAUCAGCCACAUUGGGACUGAGACACGGCCCAAACUCCUACGGGAGGCAGCAGUGGGGAAUAUUGGACAAUGGGCGCAAGCCUGAUCCAGCCAUGCCGCGUGAGUGAUGAAGGCCUUAGGGUUGUAAAGCUCUUUCACCGGAGAAGAUAAUGACGGUAUCCGGAGAAGAAGCCCCGGCU
RNAcentral lists this ribosomal RNA (446 nucleotides) under uncultured Rhizobium sp. RNAcentral describes it as "bacterial SSU rRNA". It matches the Rfam family "Bacterial small subunit ribosomal RNA", at positions 1 to 498 of the family's 1533-position model. Lineage: Bacteria; Pseudomonadati; Pseudomonadota; Alphaproteobacteria; Hyphomicrobiales; Rhizobiaceae. The record is from RNAcentral.